This 219-nucleotide unclassified non-coding RNA is filed under the name Hevea brasiliensis (rubber tree). Lineage: Eukaryota; Viridiplantae; Streptophyta; Magnoliopsida; Malpighiales; Euphorbiaceae. The record is from RNAcentral.
ACGAAGCCGGCUGCACCGGUGACGAGGACGGAGAUGCCGUGGGGGCGGUGGGGCUGGGCGGAGGAGCGGACGUGGGACUCCCACUGGAGGCCGCCCCAGGAGGCAGAGAAAUAGCGGGAGGAGGAGUCGACGAAGGACUGGAAGGAGAGGUAGGAAGCGGUGAGGGCAAUGAGAAAGAGGGCCCAGAGGAACAUGGUGGAGGUGGAGGCGAAGCAGCGG